CCUACGGGUGGCAGCAGUGAGGAAUAUUGGUCAAUGGACGGAAGUCUGAACCAGCCAUGCCGCGUGCAGGAAGACGGCUCUAUGAGUUGUAAACUGCUUUUGUACAAGGGUAAACCGGAAUACGUGUAUGCAGCUGAAAGUACUGUACGAAUAAGGAUCGGCUAACUCCGUGCCAGCAGCCGCGGUAAUACGGAGGAUCCAAGCGUUAUCCGGAUUUAUUGGGUUUAAAGGGUGCGUAGGCGGAUUGCUAAGUUAGAGGUGAAAUGUCCGAGCUUAACUCGGGAACUGCCUCUCAUACUGUUGAUCUAGAGCGUAGGUGCGGUAGGCGGAAUG
This 333-nucleotide ribosomal RNA is filed under the name uncultured bacterium. Its description in RNAcentral is "partial 16S ribosomal RNA". It matches the Rfam family "Bacterial small subunit ribosomal RNA", at positions 338 to 668 of the family's 1533-position model. The record is from RNAcentral.